Molecule: ribosomal RNA, 429 nt
Filed under: Chloroflexota bacterium
Lineage: Bacteria; Bacillati; Chloroflexota
Description: Chloroflexi bacterium partial 16S ribosomal RNA
Rfam family: Bacterial small subunit ribosomal RNA
Source: RNAcentral
UGGGGAAUAUUGCACAAUGGGCGCAAGCCUGAUGCAGCCAUGCCGCGUGUGUGAAGAAGGCCUUCGGGUUGUAAAGCACUUUCAGCGGGGAGGAAGGCGAUAAGGUUAAUAACCUUGUCGAUUGACGUUACCCGCAGAAGAAGCACCGGCUAACUCCGUGCCAGCAGCCGCGGUAAUACGGAGGGUGCAAGCGUUAAUCGGAAUUACUGGGCGUAAAGCGCACGCAGGCGGUCUGUCAAGUCGGAUGUGAAAUCCCCGGGCUCAACCUGGGAACUGCAUUCGAAACUGGCAGGCUAGAGUCUUGUAGAGGGGGGUAGAAUUCCAGGUGUAGCGGUGAAAUGCGUAGAGAUCUGGAGGAAUACCAGUGGCGAAGGCGGCUCUCUGGUCUGUAACUGACGCUGAGGCUCGAAAGCGUGGGGAGCAAACAGG